CAACACAAGUAUUAAAGGUCCCGCCUGCCCAGUGAAAUUUAUUUUUAACGGCCGCGGUAUUCUAACCGUGCAAAGGUAGCGUAAUCACUUGUCUUCUAAAUAAAGACUAGUAUGAACGGCUAAAUGAGGGUAAGACUGUCUCUUAUAAUUAAUCAGUGAAACUGACCUUCCAGUACAAACGCUGGAAUAAGCACAUAAGACGAGAAGACCCCGUGGAGCUUAAAACUAAUCACUAACACAUUAUUACCCUAGUGCACUGUUUUCAGUUGGGGCGACUUCGGAAUAAAACAAAACUUCCGAGCACAGAACCACCACUUCCUACUAAGGCCAACAAGCCCAAGUACAACCUGACCCGGCUCCAAUGCCGAUCAACGAACCAAGUUACCCCGGGGAUAACAGCGCUAUCUUCUUCAAGAGUCCCUAUCAACAAGAAGGUUUACGACCUCGAUGUUGGAUCAGGACACCCAAAUGGUGCAGCCGCUAUUAAAGGUUCGUUUGUUCAACGAUUAACAGUC
Molecule: ribosomal RNA, 515 nt
Filed under: Trachylepis affinis (Senegal mabuya)
Lineage: Eukaryota; Metazoa; Chordata; Lepidosauria; Squamata; Scincidae
Description: partial 16S ribosomal RNA
Rfam family: Bacterial large subunit ribosomal RNA
Source: RNAcentral